GCAUGAAGGGAUGAAGUGGCAGGAGAAAUGAAGUCUUCCUAACUCUGGCCUCCUGCUGCUACACAAGCCAGGCCAAUGAUGUGGCAAGUCCAAGGGGCACAUGGCUUUUCAGUGUCAUUGUUUGAGGAGGCCAUGAGUGGUUUAGCUGGUGGCCUCUGCUUCUUUUUCUUUUGAGUGCUUCUGAAUACAUGACUGUGCUCUGAAUACAGAGCUACCACUGCGGGGUAAACCAAGCCACAGCUGUCCUCUUCCAAGGUUAGGGUCGCUGCUCAGCAGGAGCUGAUGUGCUACAAGGAAUGAUGAUCUUCUACUGUCUCGUCACUUUCCUAGGGAAAGUCUCCAGGGGAGCGAGCUUUCAAGAUCUGCUGCGGAGUGUGUCCUGCCAGUGCGUGGAAGGCCGUUUGUUUACAAAACUUGGUGAAUACCCAGAUGGCGCUUCCCUGUGCCCUGCAGCUGCUCAACAAGCAAGGAGACUUGCAGGCACCCACAGAACUCAUUCUGUGAAGCCCUUUCUUCUCAGAAGAGUCUUCACUGCUAUUGUGACGUCCUGCUUGCCCCUCCUGUUUUAUUCCAGAGGCACAACGUUAACACAAAAUGUUGGAGAUCAUGACAGCGUUGGGCUCCAAAAACAGGAUUGUUUGUUGUUUUGAAGCCAGUCCCCAAAAUGACUUGAACUUCUAAAGAAGAAGCUGGCAUCCUUUCUAUCAUUUACACAAUCUGAGGUUCAGUGUGUGAGGAUAGGAAUGGGGAUGGGGUGGGUCCACUUCUAUCCAUUAGGGAACUCCAGUAAUAUUGUGGAUUCAAGAAUAUGCCAAUUUUUCCAGGUGGUAGCUUAUUUAACUAUUGUUAGGGAUAACUCAAAGAGCUUUGUAUUGCACCUUUACAAAGUUAUGGAAGGGCUACUAAAUAACAUGUAUGGGAUUAGUAAAUUGCAGAAAUGUUUGCACAGGCAUCAAGAUGCCAAGUAGUAGCAUCUCCAUGGUGACCUCUCUCCAGUAAUGCUUGGUACACAAGCAUAGCUGCAAUGCAAAUUCCCUAGACCCCUCUUCUAACUAGAUGGCCAGCCACUCAUCGCCAGUGUUUCUUACGGUGAGUGAAAAGAGAGUCUCAAGAAGUCUGUGUAUUAAUUGUUACUGCAUAGCGAAUGACCCAAAAUGCAGAAGCUUAAACAACAGUCAUCUUUUAUUAUUUCUCACGGUGUCUGAGAGUCAGGAAUCCAGGUAGGGAACAGCAGGAGUGGCAUGUCUCUGCCCCAUGACUUCUGGGGUCUUCGAGGGAAGACUCAAAGGCAGCGUGUUGAAAUCCUUGGGGGGGGUCAUCACUCUCAUAUCUGCUAGUUGAUGCUGGCUGCUGGUUGGGCCUGAGGCCUUGAGUCAGAACACUGACAUGUGAGUUCUUGAUGUGGCCUGGGCUUCCUCACAACAUGGUGACCCUCCAGAGAAAGAGAGAGAGCCUGGAAGAGCUGUGUGCCUUUCCCUGCCCAGCUUUGGUAGGCUUGCAGCAUUGAGUCCACUGAGCUCCACUGGCUAAGUCAGUUAUAAAGGACUUCUCUGGCUCAAGGGGAGGGAAUGUAGAUACCACCUUUCUUUGGAGAUGAGUCCAAUAAUAUUAAGAGUAUGUGGGAUGGAAAAUGCAUUGGUUCAGCCACCUUUGGAAGAUAGAAUCCGCCAUCGGUACCUUCCCCAAAUACACAGGCUUCCUUGUGGAACUGGGGGAUAUAUUAUAAACUCUAAAUAGCAAAGGCACUUCCUGAAUAAAUACUAAUUGGCUGUCUGUGAGACAUGCAGUGACUCCAGGUCUCCUGUGGGGUGGGACAGCUCAGGAAGUCCAAGGAUUCAGUGAAAGCCCUAGAAGAGCUUGCCAACUGGAAGAGAGGGAAGCUGAUGGCUGGACUCCUCUCCCAGUUAUGCUUUUGGGUAAACAUCUGGAAAGCACAAGGCUUAGCAAGUCAAGAGCCAGCUACAGCAACACCAUAAAAACACCCUGCAGCUGAGUGCACUGGGUGUUUUUGUAAGCGGCAUCCCACCUGGUCCACCAGACAGUGAGCUAACUGAGGUGUGGAUUUUCAUAGAGAUUCAAUGGUAAACAAGAAAGAUGCAUCUCCCACAUCCAAGGAAUAUGUGUUUGGUUGGAAGAGUUGGACAAUAAACGAAACAGAAUAAACAAAGUGACAAACAAACACGCUAGGUAGUGAUGCGCAUUGUGGCAAUCCCAGAACAGGUGAUGGUGGUGACACACAGUGCCCACACCCAGCACAGCAGGGUACACUGUCAUCAGUAAUCGCCUCUCCAGGAAACCAGCGGCACUCAUCAGACUCAGUUACUCAUGGUCUGUGAGUGAAAGAAUUAAAGUCCCUGGAGAGACCCAUCAGGAGCACCAAUGACCAGCAGAUUGCACAGGUCACCUCAGCAGCAAAGCCAAGGCUACAUCUUGGCAUUCCUGGCUGCAGCCCAUUGCUCUCCCCAUCCUGCACAUGACUCCAGACAGUGGCAGCCUAUUCAGCAUCUCAGGGCUGUCAGGAGUGGCAUCUAGGGAGGACCAGGUGCUCUCUCCAUCUGUGGCUUGGAAUGUGUGCUCAGAGUCCCCUGAGAACAGACAAACCCGUGAAGAACCAACUGAGAAAUAUAAUCUUCCUGUCCAUUCAGAUCAGGAAAUAAAUUAAAACAUCUUUCUUUACAUAGUAGAUUUGAACAUGAAAAGCUGAUUGUAAAUACAAUCUUUGUGGAUUAAACUGUAUUUUAAAAGCUCUCUAAAGUCAGGAUUGGCACAAUGUUGAUAGCCAUUGGACAAAGGGUGCGUGAGGGCUCAUUAGACUAUUCUCUUUUGCUUGGUGUGUGCUUGAAAUUUUCUCAAAUAAAAAGUAAGUAAAGAGGUAGAUAAAAUAGCUUUCCUCUGGCAGUACAUUUGUCCCUCUUUCCCUCUCUUUCUCUCUUAAAAUGAGAAUGAUUACUUCCAACAAAUAGUUUUUGUAAAACUAAGUCUUGCAAAAAAUGACUUAUAGUUGUUUCUGUACAUUGGGUUUUUCUGAAGCCAAGCACAGCAUACUGAAGUGAUUUGCAGUAUUAGCCUCGCCUUUAAUUCCUGUGAUAGUUAAGUAAUCAUGAGUAGGCAUGUUUCUACCUACUGCAAAUAAAUUUGUGGGGCAUCAAUAGGAGAUGUGGGAUUGAUGUCAUGAUGAGAGAGACAAGGGAUGAACCUGGAGGUUGUGAGGCUGAGGUUCGCCCCCUUCUCUCUUCCAGCUGGUCUGGGACCCCUGGUCACAUCUCAUUACCUCUCAGGGUCUCGGUUUUCUCCUAAACCAGCUCUGGCUCAUUUCAAGAAUCCUUUCCUUCCAGCACUGUAGAGAGUUCUGGGGGUCAAAACAUGUUGUAAUUCUGAAAUCACCAGGGUCGCGUGAGACGAGGACAGGGAUGAGAGAUUAAAACUCCCCGUCUCCAGGAAUAAGAAAGCAAUACAGUCCCUCAAGGCCAUUAACGAUUUUCAUGAUCCGUAGAUUUCUUACCACUUAAUUCUGUGCUCUCCCUUCUUUAGGCUAAUAUUUUAAACAUUAUGAAAAGGAAACCAAUGAAAAGAUGAGUAAUAGCUUCUGGCUGUUGAGCACAGUUUCACAAUAUUUUUGAAUUUCUCAGAUAACACUGCAUAUUAAUGUCAUUUUCUUCACUGGGAAGAAAGUCAGCAGACCUUCAGCCAAACCAUGACUACUUGGUAACCUGCUGAAAAUUCUAUGUUUGAACUCCUGCCCCAGCUCCACCUUUCACCUUGACUGGUAGGGCGGUCUCUCAGUGGUCUCUCUUCUCAUCCUCUGCCAACAAUGUCAACUAUGGUAUCUCUGGAAGACAGGAGGAAAAAGACCAAAUGCUCACAGUUUGAUGUGCUUAUCAUUCUUUCAGAUAAUGGGAUUGUGAGUUCUUAUUUAUCUUAAAUUUUCUGCAUUUUAACUUUCUUCUUAGUGCUUUCUACAUGCUCCAUGUUUUCUUCAAUGAGCAUGCAUUACUUUAUACUCAAGAAAAGAGCAAUGCACACUGUUUUUUAAAGCCGCUAUUGCUACUCCUCAGACUAAAUCCUUCAUUGGCCCUCCACUGACAUAGCAUAAAAUCCAACGCAUUGGUUUGGCUCCUCCACCCUCAAUGCCUGGCUGGCUACCCUCCUAAUCUCACCUUCGUCACCUCUUCCCUGACCUCUGUCCCUUCCCCUUCCCAUCCUCCUUCCCACCUGUGCUCACCCACACCUGCCAUACCUCAGACACCAAGGAGCCCUCCGUCUGAAUCUACCCCACCCACAGAGGUUUCCCUGACCACUCCCACACUUUCUUUAGGAGCCAUUUCAAGCCUGGCCUCUGCUGGUCCCCAGGGAGCCUCCCCUGCUUCUCCAGGGUUCUGGGGCACCUCGCCUCCCUGACCAUACUCCUAGAACAGGCCACAAACAGCAGCAUGUGGUGUGUUCUCACAGCUGUUCUUCAUUAGACCGGAAGUGCCCUGAGGACAGGCUCAGUGCCAUUACUUCCGUUAAUUUUCUUUUUUCUUUUUUUUUUUUUUUGGUUCUGGUUUUUUCUCUUUGACCCCAGCAAAAUUAUUCAUUGAAUGUUUCCUUGAGUUUUAAGAGGCCUACACAGCAAUUACACAUCACUAGAGUCUUUUUUAUUUCCCAAGAAAAGCCACUUAGAAAUAAAAGUAUGAAGAGUGUUACAUGCCGAGGACUUUCCAAAACACACAGACUUUCUAAUGGUGUUGCCUAAAGCGUGUUGCUCCUGCUUUGCCUGUGCUAGGCUCCUGCUCUGCCUGGAAUGCCUUCCUUUCCUUGUCUACUGGCAAACUCCUGGUCACCCUUCCAAACUCGGUUUUGACACCCAUGCUGCCCUCCCCUGCAGCUCCUUGAGCUAGGAUCUAGAGACGUCCCUCUGGAAGGUGCCUCAGGGUACCCUUUCCUCUCCAGGUGCCGUCGUUUGCAUAUCUAUUUCCCCCAUAAUUCCCUAGAGACGCUGACCAGCCCCUAGAGGUUCUAGUUUAGUGCUUGUGGAAGGAAGGAAUUUCAUGUUAGCAGUCCACAUGCCAGGGAGUGCUUGGUGGAUAUGCAGACAGGAAGUUUAAUAACAGGGAGAUGCAGGGACCUCAGGAGAGCUUUGCAUUUGUUCUCUGCACAGGGCACCCGGCUGGGGAUGAGUGGGAUCUACCACCCCGGGUCUGUCCUCUAGGAUCCCCCAGGGCAGGGCUGCCUGCCUAAGGCAUGACCCUGAUCCACGCCGGUGUCAUGGGGGCUAACAGAGUCAGCCAGCAUCCAUGCAGUGCCCGCCGGCCAUCCUUCCCACAGUAAGCCCCAGAUUCUCUAUUAUUUUUGAAUUCUUCUUCCCAUCAUUCGUCCAGGGUCUUGCCAGUUCUGAGACCAAAGAGUUGCAAAGAAUCACCCUUUAGGAAUGUAAAAUGAUUCUUGUUCCAACAAGGCUCCACUUAAUCAUACACUCUACAAAUUCAGGGAGCUCAUUUGGGUAAAAUACAGUUUUUCCUUUUCAUACGUUUGCUGCUUUCUCCAAACAAACUCGAGGAAAGACUGCAACAUCAGCACUUUGACAAUUUGGAACUGAAAUAGAGAGUCUAGAGUCUG
This 5598-nucleotide long non-coding RNA is filed under the name Homo sapiens (human). Its description in RNAcentral is "HSALNT0338109". The record is from RNAcentral. Lineage: Eukaryota; Metazoa; Chordata; Mammalia; Primates; Hominidae.